GAUGAACGCUGGCGGCGUGCCUAAUACAUGCAAGUCGAGCGGACAGACGAGGAGCUUGCUCCUCUGACGUUAGCGGCGGACGGGUGAGUAACACGUGGAUAACCUACCUAUAAGACUGGGAUAACUUCGGGAAACCGGAGCUAAUACCGGAUAAUAUAUUGAACCGCAUGGUUCAAUAGUGAAAGACGGUUUUGCUGUCACUUAUAGAUGGAUCCGCGCCGCAUUAGCUAGUUGGUAAGGUAACGGCUUACCAAGGCAACGAUGCGUAGCCGACCUGAGAGAGUGAUCGGCCACACUGGAACUGAGACACGGUCCAGACUCCUACGGGAGGCAGCAGUAGGGAAUCUUCCGCAAUGGGCGAAAGCCUGACGGAGCAACGCCGCGUGAGUGAUGAAGGUCUUCGGAUCGUAAAACUCUGUUAUUAGGGAAGAACAAAUGUGUAAGUAACUAUGCACGUCUUGACGGUACCUAAUCAGAAAGCCACGGCUAACUACGUG
Molecule: ribosomal RNA, 497 nt
Filed under: uncultured bacterium
Lineage: Bacteria
Description: partial 16S ribosomal RNA
Rfam family: Bacterial small subunit ribosomal RNA
Source: RNAcentral